Molecule: long non-coding RNA, 1079 nt
Filed under: Nannospalax galili (Upper Galilee mountains blind mole rat)
Lineage: Eukaryota; Metazoa; Chordata; Mammalia; Rodentia; Spalacidae
Description: lncRNA (ENSNGAG00000024620.1)
Source: RNAcentral
GCAGUUCCUGGAUUUUCAGCUCUGAAACCUGAGCUGGGGGUGGAGUCAGGUCUCCUGCCCAGAACCUGGAGUGAGGCAGCCUGAUGCCCACACACGUGUCCAGGCCUGCACGUGUGUGCUGUGCCAGGGGAGGGGCCUGGAAAACUUGUUGAGCCCCGACCCCAUUUCCUCCAGAGUGCCCCUAGGAAAAGUCCGGCUGGAUGAGGUCAUGGCUGCUGCAGCCCUUACAAGCUUGUCUACCAGCCCCCUCUGCCUGGGGACCCCAGCUACAAACUUCAGCCCAGAGCCUGGCUUGGAGCCCUGGAAGGAGGCUCUGGCGCAUCCCCCAGGCAGCUACAGCAGCAGCAGCUACAGUGGAGACUGGGCCUGGGACCUGACCAGUGACCAGUCCUCUCCAUCCACUCCAUCGCCCCCACUCCCCCCAGAAUCAGCCCACUUCCUAUUUGGGGAGGCCACCCUGAGGAAGAGGAAGAGCUCUAUCCAGGUCAUGUUCCAGUGCCUGUGGAAGAGCUGUGGGAAGGUGCUGAGCACAGCGUCUGGGAUGCAGAGACACAUCCGCCUGGUGCACCUGGGAAGGCAGGCAGAGCCAGAGCAGAGCGAUGGUGAGGAGGACUUCUACUACACAGAGCUGGAUGUUGGUGUGGAUACACUGACUGAUGGGCUCUCCAGCCUGACCCCUGUGUCUCCAACAGUCUCCAUGCCACUCACCUUUCCUCAUCUGGAGCCCCCAGAGUUGCUGGAGCCCCCAGUCCUCCCUAGCCUGCUGCAGCCCCUAACCCUGUCCCCACCCUCCAUGCUCACCUCUGCAGCAACCCCAAAAGUAUGCCACAGUGAUCAUGCCUACCAGGCAGGUGAGGCCACAGGUAGAGACUGGGGGCAGGUCUCAGAGCACUCUAGAGAGGAACAGAACAGGGGCUGUGGCUCCCCUCAGCGCUGCCUGGCACCUGUACACCUGAAGCCACAGCCCACUGAGGUCCAGGCCUACAUACCAGCCCUGCCUGCCAAGCUUAGUGCUAACCUGAGGUGUGUAGGGGUUAAGGGGCUGGGCAUGUACCAGGUGGGGAAGGUCUCAGCUACAA